Molecule: long non-coding RNA, 2512 nt
Organism: Mustela lutreola (European mink)
Lineage: Eukaryota; Metazoa; Chordata; Mammalia; Carnivora; Mustelidae
Exons: 2
Source: RefSeq, a predicted model, not a curated record
CCACACAAUACAUAGUUAUAUUUUUUUAUUUCAAUAGUCAUUUGUCUCUGAAAGAAUUUUUAAAACUAAGAAAAUUUAUAUUUAUCCACAUAUUUUCAGUCUCUGGUACUUUUCAUUCUUUUUAUAGAUCAAUAUUCCAUCUGGUAUCAUUUUCUUUCUACCUGAAUUAUUCUGUAACAUUUCUUAGAAUGCAAAUCUUCUGGUAAUGAAUUCUUUCAUAUUUUUCCAACUCUAUAAAGUAUUUAGCCUUAGUUUUAAAAUUGUGGUUAAAAACACAUAACAUUAAAUUUACCAUGUUAACCAUUUUUAAAUGAAUGGUUCAGUAAUGUUAAGUAUAUUCAUAGUGUUAUACAACAGAUCUCUAUAACUUUUCUUCUUGCAGCAUUGAAACUCUUUAUCCACUAAAUACUAAUUACUCCUUUCCACACCCCCAGCCUUUGGUAACCAACUUUCUAUUUUCUGUGUCUCUGGGGUUGGCUUCUUUAGACACUUGAUAUAAGUGAAGUCAAACAUUAUUUGUUCUUUUGUGACUGGCUUAUUUUAUUUAACAAAUGUUCAUUUGUUUUGUAGCUUGUUACAGGAUUUCCUGCUUUUCAAAGAAUGCACAAUAUCCCAAUAUAUGUAUAUGUAUAUAUUACAUUUUCUUUACCUGUUUGAUCAUGAAGAUUUGGAUUGCUUCCAUCACUCAGCUAUUGUGAAUAAUGCUGCAAUGAACAUGGGUGUGCAAAUACCAUUUCAAGAGUCUCUUUUGAGUGCUAUUGGAUACAUACCCAGAAGUGAGAUUGUUGGAUCAUGUGCUACUGUUUUCCAUGAUGGUACUGUUUUCCAUUAUGGCUGUACCAUUUUACACUCUUACCAAUGGGGCGUUAAUCUAGCACCAUCAUCAACCAGGCUCAGAAAGAGCACCUCAGGAAAUUAUGCAGGUGUAAGAAGUACAAGCCCUUGGAUCUGCAACCCAAGAAGGCAGGUGCCAUGUGCUGUAACUGAAUGAGCACCAGGGAUCCUGAAGAUCAAGGAGAGGCUAUAACCACUGCAGAAGUACCUGGUUAAGGCCCAAGCAUCAGCAUCAAUAAGACAAAAUGGGAAAAAAAUACAACUACCAUAUGAUCUGACAAUUCUACUUCUUGGUAUUUUUCUGAAGGAAACAAAAAUGCUAUCUCCAAAAGAGAUAUGCAUCCCCAUGUUCAUUGCAGCACUUCAUAAUAGCCAAGACAUGGACUCAACCUAAAUGUUUACUGAUGGAUGAAUGGAUAAAGAAAAUGUGAUAUAUAUAUAUAUAUAUUCAAUGGAUAUUAUUCAGCCACAAAAAGAUGGAAAUCUUGCAAUUUAUGACAUGGAUGGGCCUUGAGGGCAUUAUGCUAAAUGAAAUAAGUCAGGCAAAGAAAGACAAAUACCACUGAUCUCACUUAUAUGGGUUAUCUACAAACAAACAGCAACAGCAACAUCAAAACCAAGUCAUAGAUACAAAUAAUGGAUUGCCGAUUGCCAGAGGUGGGGGAUAAAGGAUGGGUGAAAUGGUGACAGUGAUCAAAAGGUACAAACAUUUAGAUACAAAUAAGUAAGUCAUGGGACUAUAAUGUGACCACACGAUGACCACAGUUAAUAACACUGUAUAGUAUAUUGAAAGUUGCUAACACAUUAAAUCUUGAAAGUUCUCAUCGCAAGAAAAAGAUGUUUGUAAUUAUGUGUGGUGAUAAAUGUUAAUUCAGCUUACUGUGAUUGUUUUGAAAUACACGCAUAUAUUUGAUCAUUAUGUUAUACACCUGAAACUAAUUUAUGUUAAUUAUUACUCAGCAAAAAAGAAACCAACAUAUAAAUACCUAAAAGUAAUUAAAACUUUGUAUUUUAUAAAAAUAAUCUAAAUAAAUAGGCUUUUUUAUGUGUGAAAAAAAAUGAAGGGAGUUGUAUGAUAGUCAACUGUGUUGGACUUGACAUUAAUUUGCUGUAUGACUAACUACAGAAAGGGUACAGGUCAAAGGACUGUAUGGGUUGCAGUCUGACACACUCAGCAAGGACUUGCAGGAGGGCAUAUAGGAGGACCAGUAGUGGUCUGACUUUUCUGACGCUGAUGUCAGUUGAGUCUAAACAUAGAGGGAUUUGGUUUUACUAACUGAAUUGAAUAUAUUUGAACUAUAAUCUGAGGGAUUUUAGUUAUGCCUAUUGAGGUAACAGUUUUAGUUACUAUAUGGAAUAAUAUAUAUUUGAGUAAUAAUUUAAAAAGAAUACAUUGUUUAGUUUCCACAUAUUUGUGGAUUGUCUGAUUUUCCUUCUAUUUCUAAUUUCAUUGUGGUUAGAGAAGAUAGUUUGAAUGGUUUGAAUCUUCUUGAAUUUUUAAGACUUGUUUUGUGGUUUAACAUGUCUCCCUUGGGGGUAUGUUUCAAACUUUGGUUUUCUUUUCAUAUUCCUUUGUGUGUAUUAUGUGGAUAUUUUCUUUGUGACUACCACCACAAUAACAUGAAACAUUUUGAAGUUAUAACAAUCUAUAUUAAACUGAUCACUGGAAGUAUGAUAA